AAUCCCGUGAACCAUCGAGUCUUUGAACGCAAGUUGCGCCCCAAGCCUUCUGGCCGAGGGCACGUCUGCCUGGGUGUCACAAAUCGUCGUCCCCAUCCUUUACGGAUAAGGGACGGAAGUUGGUCUCCCGUGUGUUACCGCACGCGGUUGGCCUAAAUCUGAG
RNAcentral lists this ribosomal RNA (163 nucleotides) under Draba pseudocheiranthoides. RNAcentral describes it as "5.8S ribosomal RNA". The stretch from base 1 to 79 matches the Rfam family "5.8S ribosomal RNA", at positions 78 to 154 of the family's 154-position model. Lineage: Eukaryota; Viridiplantae; Streptophyta; Magnoliopsida; Brassicales; Brassicaceae. The record is from RNAcentral.